Molecule: long non-coding RNA, 719 nt
Organism: Cydia pomonella (codling moth)
Lineage: Eukaryota; Metazoa; Arthropoda; Insecta; Lepidoptera; Tortricidae
Exons: 2
Source: RefSeq, a predicted model, not a curated record
AUAAAUUCAGAUAUUGCACAGAAAAAAAAUAACUUGAUUGGAAUAUCAGAAUUUAUUCCGUGAUCAUGAGAUUAACAAGCCCAUUCGAACGUACACUGACAGCGGAAAAAUAUUGAAUCAUGCUAUUUAGUUAUCGUGCGUCUCGCUCGCGCCAAUACAUGUACAGACAAGUACGAGAGAAAUGAGAAAUGCACGAUAUCGAAAUAACAUGAUUAAAAUAUUCUGAUGUCCGUGUACGUUUGAAUUGGCUGAUCCGGCUCUGAAUUUCUGAUAAAUUCAGCUCGUGUAAUAUGGAUUAAGAUUCAGAUAAGAUUCAGUUCAGAUCAUCGUACAGAGGGAAUUUUGUAUUGCAACCUUACCGCUGCUUAUUCACAUAUUUUUUGUCUGGGACUAGGCCCCGCAGACGGCGUAGGUAUAUUACGCUAAAAAUUGACCACGAUCACGAUACCCUAAAACUAAAACAUUAAUCCAAAAUAGAGCAAAGUUAUAAAUAAAAUAAACAUCAAGUGGAUUAAGAACCUGGUAAAUCACCUUAUGGAAACGUAUAAAAUCCUAUAAAAAGAACCGCUUCGCUUAGAAACAGUGAUUAUCUAAAAUGAAGCUACUGGUAGUGUUACUCGUGAUAUUUGCGUUGACAAUAUGUCUCUGCGAGAGUGCUCCCCUAAAUUCAGAUCGGACAAUUAGAGAAAAACGCAGUUAUGGCGGUGGUGUAAAGAAAA